RNAcentral lists this ribosomal RNA (1644 nucleotides) under human gut metagenome. Its description in RNAcentral is "bacterial LSU rRNA". It matches the Rfam family "Bacterial large subunit ribosomal RNA", at positions 520 to 2254 of the family's 2925-position model. The record is from RNAcentral.
AGCACCCCGGGAGGGGAGUGAAAAAGAACCUGAAACCCUGUGCCUACAAGCACCUAGAGCACGUCAAUGUGUGAUAGGGUACUUUUUGUAGAACGGUCCGGCGAGCGAUUGUAUGCAGCAAGGUUAAGGACUUAAGGUCUGGAGCCGAAGCGAAAGCGAGUUUGAAAAGGGCGUUAAGUUGCAUACAAUGGGCCCGAAACCGGGUGACCUACCCAUGGUCAGGUUGAAGUGGAAGUAAAAUUCCAUGGAGGACCGAACCGACCUCCGUUGAAAAGGCGGCGGAUGAACUGUGGGUAGCGGAGAAAUUCCAAUCGAACCCGGAGAUAGCUGGUUCUCCCCGAAAUAGUUUUAGGACUAGCCUCAAGUUAGAUACCUGGAGGUAAAGCACUGAAUAGCCUAGCGGCCGAGAGGUUAGCGAAGCUUAUCAAACUCAGAAUGCCAGAGUAUUGAUGCUUGGGAGUCAGACAGUGUCAGAUAAAUGUCAUUGUCAAAAGGGAAACAGCCCAGAUCUACAGCUAAGGUCCCAAAGUCAGGUUAAGUGGAAAACGAUGUGAAGAUACGCAGACAACCAGGAUGUUGGCUCAGAAGCAGCCACACAUUCAAAGAGUGCGUAAUAGCUCACUGGUCGAGCGUCUUUGCGCGGAGAAUUUAACGGGGCUAAACCUGACACCGAAGCUUAGGCAAUACAGUAAUGUAUUGGGUAGGGGAGCGUUGUAUACGCGGUGAAACAGUAGCGCAAGCGGCUGUGGAGUGUAUAGAAGUGAGAAUGCCGGAAUGAGUAGCGCGAAUGCAGUGAGAAUCUGCAUGGCCGAAAGCCUCAGGUUUCUGGAGGAAGGUUCGUCCGCUCCAGGUUAGUCGGGAGCUAAGGUGAGGCCUAACGGCGUAGCCGAUGCACAGACGGUAGAGAUUCCGUCACCACCAAAAGAGUUAAACACAGGGACACAUUUGAAGUCUCGGAGCCGGGUGUUGGUUCCGGUAGCGAUCGAGGGAAAUUAGUACCGAAGUCCGGGAUGGAAGAUGGCGAGAAAAGCUGUGUGUAUUUCUGCGGUGCCCGUACCGCAAACCGACACAGGUAGGUAGGAAGAAGAUUCUAAGGCCAACGGGAGAAGGGUUGUUAAGGAACUCGGCAAAUUGACCCCGUAACUUCGGGAGAAGGGGUGCUCCAGAGAUGGAGCCGCAGAGAAUCGGCCCAAGCAACUGUUUACCAAAAACACAGGUUUGUGCUAAAUCGAAAGAUGAUGUAUACGAGCUGACGCCUGCCCGGUGCUGGAAGGUUAAGAGGAGAUGUGCAAGCAUUGAAUCGAAGCCCCAGUGAACGGCGGCCGUAACUAUAACGGUCCUAAGGUAGCGAAAUUCCUUGUCAGGUAAGUUCUGACCCGCAUGAAAGGCGUAAUGAUUUGGGCACUGUCUCGACAGCCCGCCCGGCGAAAUUGUAGUACCGGUGAAGAUGCCGGUUACCCGCGACAAGACGGAAAGACCCCAUGGAGCUUUACUGUAGCCUAAUAUUGGGUUUCGAUGUUGCAUGCACAGGAUAGAUGGGACACAGGGAAACAAGUGCUUUGGCAUUUGUGGAGUGGCCGUUGGGAUACCAUCCUUGCGAUAUUGGAAUUCUAACCUGCGCCUUUGAAUCAAGGCGGGGGACAU